RNAcentral lists this ribosomal RNA (492 nucleotides) under uncultured bacterium. Its description in RNAcentral is "partial 16S ribosomal RNA". It matches the Rfam family "Bacterial small subunit ribosomal RNA", at positions 29 to 507 of the family's 1533-position model. The record is from RNAcentral.
AGUGAACGCUGGCGGUAGGCCUAACACAUGCAAGUCGAACGGCAGCACAGUAAGAGCUUGCUCUUACGGGUGGCGAGUGGCGGACGGGUGAGGAAUACAUCGGAAUCUACUUUUUCGUGGGGGAUAACGUAGGGAAACUUACGCUAAUACCGCAUACGACCUACGGGUGAAAGCAGGGGAUCUUCGGACCUUGCGCGAUUGAAUGAGCCGAUGUCGGAUUAGCUAGUUGGCGGGGUAAAGGCCCACCAAGGCGACGAUCCGUAGCUGGUCUGAGAGGAUGAUCAGCAACACUGGAACUGAGACACGGUCAAGACUCCUACGGGAGGCAGCAGUGGGGAAUAUUGGACAAUGGGCGCAAGCCUGAUCCAGCCAUACCGCGUGGGUGAAGAAGGCCUUCGGGUUGUAAAGCCCUUUUGUUGGGAAAGAAAAGCAGCAGGUUAAUACCCCGCUGUUCUGACGGUACCCAAAGAAUAAGCACCGGCUAACUUCGUG